GGUUAAGCGACUAAGCGUACACGGUGGAUGCCCUGGCAGUCAGAGGCGAUGAAGGACGUGCUAAUCUGCGAAAAGCGCCGGCGAGGUGAUAUGAACCUUUGACCCGGCGAUGUCCGAAUGGGGAAACCCAGUGUGUUCCGACACACUAUCGUUAACUGAAUACAUAGGUUAACGAGGCGAACCGGGGGAACUGAAACAUCUAAGUACCCCGAGGAAAAGAAAUCAACCGAGAUUCCCCCAGUAGCGGCGAGCGAACGGGGAGCAGCCCAGAGUCUGAAUCAGCUUGUGUGUUAGUGGAAGCGUCUGGAAAGUCGCACGGUACAGGGUGACAGUCCCGUACACGAAAGCACACAGGYUGUGAACUCGAAGAGUAGGGCGGGACACGUGGUAUCCUGUCUGAAUAUGGGGGGACCAUCCUCCAAGGCUAAAUACUCCUGACUGACCGAUAGUGAACCAGUACCGUGAGGGAAAGGCGAAAAGAACCCCGGCGAGGGGAGUGAAAAAGAACCUGAAACCGUGUACGUACAAGCAGUGGGAGCCUCUUUUAUGGGGUGACUGCGUACCUUUUGUAUAAUGGGUCAGCGACUUAUAUUCUGUAGCAAGGUUAACCGUAUAGGGGAGCCGAAGGGA
This 630-nucleotide ribosomal RNA is filed under the name Enterobacter ludwigii. RNAcentral's name for it is "partial 23S ribosomal RNA". Lineage: Bacteria; Pseudomonadati; Pseudomonadota; Gammaproteobacteria; Enterobacterales; Enterobacteriaceae. The record is from RNAcentral.